Molecule: ribosomal RNA, 771 nt
Filed under: uncultured bacterium
Lineage: Bacteria
Description: bacterial SSU rRNA
Rfam family: Bacterial small subunit ribosomal RNA
Source: RNAcentral
AGAGUUUGAUCAUGGCUCAGGACGAACGCUGGCGGCGUGCUUAACACAUGCAAGUCGAGCGGAAAGGCCCUUCGGGGUACUCGAGCGGCGAACGGGUGAGUAACACGUGAGUAACCUGCCCCAAACUUUGGGAUAACCCUCGGAAACGGGGGCUAAUACCGGAUACGACACAGCUUCGCAUGGGGUCUGUGUGGAAAGUUUUUCGGUUUGGGAUGGGCUCGCGGCCUAUCAGCUUGUUGGUGGGGUAACGGCCUACCAAGGCGACGACGGGUAGCCGGCCUGAGAGGGCGACCGGCCACACUGGGACUGAGACACGGCCCAGACUCCUACGGGAGGCAGCAGUGGGGAAUAUUGCACAAUGGGCGGAAGCCUGAUGCAGCGACGCCGCGUGAGGGAUGACGGCCUUCGGGUUGUAAACCUCUUUCAGCAGGGACGAAGCGCAAGUGACGGUACCUGCAGAAGAAGCGCCGGCCAACUACGUGCCAGCAGCCGCGGUAAGACGUAGGGCGCGAGCGUUGUCCGGAUUUAUUGGGCGUAAAGAGCUCGUAGGCGGCUUGUCACGUCGACUGUGAAAUCCCGCGGCUCAACUGCGGGUCUGCAGUCGAUACGGGCAGGCUAGAGUUCGGUAGGGGAGACUGGAAUUCCUGGUGUAGCGGUGAAAUGCGCAGAUAUCAGGAGGAACACCGGUGGCGAAGGCGGGUCUCUGGGCCGAUACUGACGCUGAGGAGCGAAAGCGUGGGGAGCGAACAGGAUUAGAUACCCUAGUAGUCC